GUGACAAUUAUGGAACUACAGACACAACUGGCACAGAAGACUACUCUAAUCAGUGAUUCAAAGUUGAAAGAACAAAAAUUCAGAGAACAGAUUCACAAUUUAGAAGAUCGUUUGAAGAAAUAUGAAAAGAAUGUAUAUACAACAACUAUGGGGACACCUUAUAAAGGUAAAAAUGAUC
Non-coding RNA from Castor canadensis (American beaver), 178 nucleotides. NCBI's taxonomy places the organism in Eukaryota, Metazoa, Chordata, Mammalia, Rodentia, Castoridae. The record is from RefSeq and is a predicted model, not a curated record.